This 650-nucleotide ribosomal RNA is filed under the name Ganoderma pfeifferi. RNAcentral describes it as "eukaryotic LSU rRNA". The stretch from base 236 to 389 matches the Rfam family "5.8S ribosomal RNA". The record is from RNAcentral. RNAcentral also lists the same sequence under 1 other name. Lineage: Eukaryota; Fungi; Basidiomycota; Agaricomycetes; Polyporales; Polyporaceae.
UCCGUAGGUGAACCUGCGGAAGGAUCAUUAUCGAGUUUUGACUGGGUUGUAGCUGGCCUUCCGAGGCAUGUGCACGCCCUGCUCAUCCACUCUACACCUGUGCACUUACUGUGGGUUCCAGACGUUGUGAAGCGGGCUCUUUACGGGGCUUGUAAAGCGGCGUGCCUGUGCCUGCGUUUAUCACAAACUCUAUAAAGUAUUAGAAUGUGUAUUGCGAUGUAACGCAUCUAUAUACAACUUUCAGCAACGGAUCUCUUGGCUCUCGCAUCGAUGAAGAACGCAGCGAAAUGCGAUAAGUAAUGUGAAUUGCAGAAUUCAGUGAAUCAUCGAAUCUUUGAACGCACCUUGCGCUCCUUGGUAUUCCGAGGAGCAUGCCUGUUUGAGUGUCAUGAAAUCUUCAACUUACAGACCUUUGCGGGUUUGUAGGCUUGGACUUUGGAGGCUUGUCGGCCGUGUUUCGGUCGGCUCCUCUUAAAUGUAUUAGCUUGAUUCCUUGCGGAUCGGCUCUCGGUGUGAUAAUGUCUACGCCGUGACCCGUGAAGCGUUUUGGCGAGCUUCUAACCGUCUCGUUUGUGAGACAGCUUUAUGACCUCUGACCUCAAAUCAGGUAGGACUACCCGCUGAACUUAAGCAUAUCAAUAAGCGGAGGA